GGGUGCUAACUGCAGUGACGGCGCGCGAGUAGUUUACUCACUUGGCUGCGAGCGGCGGACGGCUGAGUAACGCGUGGGAGCGUGCCCCAAAGUGAGGAAUAACUGCCCGAAAGGGUAGCUAAUGCCGCAUAUGAUCUUCGGAUUAAAGGAUUUAUCCGCUUUGGGAGCGGCCCGCGUCGGAUUAGGUAGUUGGUGAGGUAAAGGCUCACCAAGCCGACGAUCCGUAGCUGGUCUGAGAGGAUGACCAGCCAGACUGGAACUGAGACACGGUCCAGACUCCUACGGGAGGCAGCAGUGAGGAAUCUUCCACAAUGGGCGAAAGCCUGAUGGAGCAACGCCGCGUGCAGGAUGAAGGCCUUCGGGUUGUAAACUGCUUUUAUUAGUGAAGAAUAUGACGGUAGCUAAUGAAUAAGGAUCGGCUAACUACGUGCCCAGCAGCCGCGGUCAUACGUAGGAUCCGAGCGUUAUCCGGAGUGACUGGGCGUAAAGAGUUGCGUAGGUGGUUUGUAAAGCGAAUAGUGAAAUCUGGUGGCUCAACCAUACAGGCUAUUAUUCGAACUCACAAACUCGAGAGUGGUAGAGGUUACUGGAAUUUCUAGUGUAGGAGUGAAAUCCGUAGAUAUUAGAAGGAACACCAAUGGCGUAGGCAGGUAACUGGACCAUUUCUGACACUAAGGCACGAAAGCGUGGGGGAGCGAACCGGAUUAGAUACCCGGGUAGUCCACGCCGUAAACGAUGGAUACUAGCUGUUGGAGGUAUCGACCCCUUCAGUAGCGAAGCUAACGCGCUAAGUAUCCCGCCUGUGGAGUACGGUCGCAAGACUAAAACAUAAAGGGAAUUGACGGGGACCCGCACAAGUAGUGGAUCGUGUUCUUAAUUCGAUGGCUAAACGAAGACCUUACCAGGCUGACAUCCUGAAUUUCUCGAAACAGUAUUCAUUUGAGCCAGUACAGUUGCUUUCACUCGUCUUGA
RNAcentral lists this ribosomal RNA (972 nucleotides) under uncultured Candidatus Saccharibacteria bacterium. Its description in RNAcentral is "bacterial SSU rRNA". It matches the Rfam family "Bacterial small subunit ribosomal RNA", at positions 42 to 1057 of the family's 1533-position model. Lineage: Bacteria; Candidatus Saccharimonadota. The record is from RNAcentral.